Molecule: long non-coding RNA, 219 nt
Filed under: Nicotiana benthamiana
Lineage: Eukaryota; Viridiplantae; Streptophyta; Magnoliopsida; Solanales; Solanaceae
Description: long non-coding RNA (NBEN_LNC036036)
Source: RNAcentral
CGUAUUUUAUAUUAGUUUGGGUGGUAAAUACAAGGGUAUCAUCGGUUAUUUACGGUAUUUAAACCUAAUGAAUAUUUUGCAUUAGGAAAAUGAAGCUUCUAGAGGAUAAGAUAAUGUUUGUAUGAAAAGAAAUGAAGACAGCUCGACUGUUCUUUGGGAUCUAGGAGGUGAAAUAAUAAAGUUUGAAGGGUAAAAAGAAAAUUGGAAAAUCAGGUUAGG